AUUGAACGCUGGCGGCAGGCCUAACACAUGCAAGUCGAACGGUAACAGGAAGAAGCUUGCUUCUUUGCUGACGAGUGGCGGACGGGUGAGUAAUGUCUGGGAAACUGCCUGAUGGAGGGGGAUAACUACUGGAAACGGUAGCUAAUACCGCAUAACGUCGCAAGACCAAAGAGGGGGACCUUCGAGCCUCUUGCCAUCGGAUGUGCCCAGAUGGGAUUAGCUAGUAGGUGGGGUAACGGCUCACCUAGGCGACGAUCCCUAGCUGGUCUGAGAGGAUGACCAGCCACACUGGAACUGAGACACGGUCCAGACUCCUACGGGAGGCAGCAGUGGGGAAUAUUGCACAAUGGGCGCAAGCCUGAUGCAGCCAUGCCGCGUGUAUGAAGAAGGCCUUCGGGUUGUAAAGUACUUUCAGCGGGGAGGAAGGGAGUAAAGUUAAUACCUUUACUCAUUGACGUUACCCGCAGAAGAAGCACCGGCUAACUCCGUG
Molecule: ribosomal RNA, 490 nt
Filed under: uncultured bacterium
Lineage: Bacteria
Description: partial 16S ribosomal RNA
Rfam family: Bacterial small subunit ribosomal RNA
Source: RNAcentral